UAAAGAAUGUCUUUCCGUGUGCUGACUCACCACAGAUAACGCCUUUAUUCCUGUUCCCUCUGCCCUCACGUGGUCCAGGUCCACAUCAACCAGGGGGCCGUAUUCUACGGGCAACGCGGUAUUGAUCACAUCUGGAUCCUACAGGUGGGAGAAAUGAAUGGAGUCAAACUUUGAAUCGCAGACCAGACUUAGCAAUGAUCUCAUCCAAAUUGAUUUUACAGAACAGGAAGCCCUUCAGUGUUUACUGGGGAUAUAUUUAUCUGUAAGCCCCGGGGCAUAAGAAACAAUGAGAAAUCUUCCUCCCCUUUGAAGAGCAUGGAGGAGAAGCAGGAUUACUGACAUGUGUGCAGGGGCUGGGACGCAGCCCCCACCUGGGGCAGGAGAGUGAGGUCAGGAAAGGCUCUGCAGAGACAGUUGGGCAAAUCUUACAGAUUAAUGGAUUUUUAAAAAGUAUAAGUUACUUAAAAAAAAAAAUGAUUCCAGUCUAUUCAUAAUAAAAUCCUUUCAACCAAAAA
This is a long non-coding RNA of Camelus dromedarius (Arabian camel), 515 nucleotides long. RefSeq lists it as uncharacterized. NCBI's taxonomy places the organism in Eukaryota, Metazoa, Chordata, Mammalia, Artiodactyla, Camelidae. The record is from RefSeq and is a predicted model, not a curated record. The transcript is spliced from 2 exons.